UACGUAGGGGGCAAGCGUUGUCCGGAAUCAUUGGGCGUAAAGAGCGCGUAGGCGGCCCAGUAAGUCCGCUCUGAAAGUCAGGGGCUCAACCCCUGGAUGCGGGUGGAUACUGCUGGGCUAGAGUCCGGAAGAGGCGAGUGGAAUUCCUGGUGUAGCGGUGAAAUGCGCAGAUAUCAGGAGGAACACCAAUUGCGAAGGCAGCUCGCUGGGACGUUACUGACGCUGAGACGCGAAAGCGUGGGGAGCAAACAGG
This 253-nucleotide ribosomal RNA is filed under the name uncultured bacterium. RNAcentral's name for it is "partial 16S ribosomal RNA". It matches the Rfam family "Bacterial small subunit ribosomal RNA", at positions 524 to 776 of the family's 1533-position model. The record is from RNAcentral.